GAUGAACGCUGGCGGCGUGCCUAAUACAUGCAAGUCGAGCGAACAGACGAGGAGCUUGCUCCUCUGACGUUAGCGGCGGACGGGUGAGUAACACGUGGAUAACCUACCUAUAAGACUGGGAUAACUUCGGGAAACCGGAGCUAAUACCGGAUAAUAUAUUGAACCGCAUGGUUCAAUAGUGAAAGACGGUUUUGCUGUCACUUAUAGAUGGAUCCGCGCCGCCUUAGCUAGUUGGUAAGGUAACGGCUUACCAAGGCAACGAUGCGUAGCCGACCUGAGAGGGUGAUCGGCCACACUGGAACUGAGACACGGUCCAGACUCCUACGGGAGGCAGCAGUAGGGAAUCUUCCGCAAUGGGCGAAAGCCUGACGGAGCAACGCCGCGUGAGUGAUGAAGGUCUUCGGAUCGUAAAACUCUGUUAUUAGGGAAGAACAACUGUGUAAGUAACUAUGCACGUCUUGACGGUACCUAAUCAGAAAGCCACGGCUAACUACGUG
This 497-nucleotide ribosomal RNA is filed under the name uncultured bacterium. Its description in RNAcentral is "partial 16S ribosomal RNA". It matches the Rfam family "Bacterial small subunit ribosomal RNA", at positions 28 to 507 of the family's 1533-position model. The record is from RNAcentral.